AAAGCAGGAAGGAAAGUAACUGUCAUCGCUCCUGUCUUCUUCCAGUCCUGUGGUUAUUUGCUACUCUAUGCUCUGGAGGAGUUAGAGAACAGAACAAAUAUUGGAAGACCAAUGAGAAGAGACUUCCACAAUAGAAGUGCCACAUGCUGGGAAGGAAAUCAGUGACCAGAGCAUUUCUUCCAGACCACUGCACAUAGCUAGGAAAGUCACCAGCUGGGGAAUGAAACAACGUGGAGGUUCAAACUAGCUUCAUCUAUGGGACCCUGGGGAUAAAGUGACCACUGAUAUAUAAGAAAACAAUGUAUAUUCUCUUUAUGAAAGACUAUUCACCUCCAA
This is a long non-coding RNA of Chroicocephalus ridibundus (black-headed gull), 336 nucleotides long. RefSeq lists it as uncharacterized. Lineage: Eukaryota; Metazoa; Chordata; Aves; Charadriiformes; Laridae. The transcript is spliced from 3 exons. The record is from RefSeq and is a predicted model, not a curated record.